Molecule: long non-coding RNA, 1620 nt
Filed under: Lathyrus oleraceus (garden pea)
Lineage: Eukaryota; Viridiplantae; Streptophyta; Magnoliopsida; Fabales; Fabaceae
Description: Pisum sativum (pea) long non-coding RNA (PSAT_LNC016688)
Source: RNAcentral
CAAGGUUUAAAUGUUUAAAAGGGAUUAAUUACAUAAAUGAAUUCCUAAUCCAAAAUGUUACAAAUAGUCUAAAAGCAUUUACAUAAUUAUCCAAAAAAGGUCUUAAAUUAAAAACUGUACAUAUGCUACAAACAGUCCAAAAACAUUAUACAUUAUCCAAAAGUUCAAUGUACAUCAAAUAAAUUUGGAAAAAGUUGAAAUUAGCUGCAAAUCCAGCAGUUUGAAGGCAAAAGCCUUUGAAACCAGUUGCCAAGACCAUCCUGUAGGUCGAACCACCCUUGGAUUCAAAGCAUCCCAAGAUCCAACCUCUAACUAAAGUAGGCGCAAACUUCCCUUCAAUUAAGGUCACUUCACCUUUGUAAACCUGCAAAAAUCAAUUCAGAAAUUAAAAGUCUUUUCAAAUAAGCACUUAAAAAAGCUGGAGAAUAAUGGAUAAGUUAAUCAGUUUAAUGUUUUGCACAAGAGACCAUAACGAACACCAGUUCAAACAACAAUGAAACCACAAAACAACAAUCCCACAAAAUCUGGAAUGAAAAGCAAAACUGACAAAUAAUUUUAAAACUUAAAAAUUCAUCAUGAAGACUUAAGAAGCUCAUCAUAUAUACCCCGAACACGUUAACAAGAAGAGGACGGUUGAAUAAAAAAGAAGCAAUAAAAAGAUAAUAAUUUUGGUUAAACAUAAAACACAUAGCAUUCGAAAGACAGAGAACACACAAAAGAAGAAUAGGGUUACCUUCGGCAAGAAAGGGAGAUAACCCUAACAUUCUAAAAAACCAAACAACAUUCCAAAAGAAGAUCAAAGAAUAGAGGGAGAUGAAGAGAGAUUUAGAGAAAGAAGAUGCUUAUCUGAAGCAUGGUGGAAGAACUUGCGUCGCCGUCGAACCGCUCUCAAACCAAGUAGAUUUCUUCUCCUUUUUGCUUAAACUCCAUAUCAUUGCGUUCGUCCUUCCAAACCGAAUGAAAACCCCUUGAUGAUUUCCUUAAAUCGUAACUAUAAAAGGCCUAAUUUCAGAUUUAGGGUUAGGGUUUCAACUGUUUGUUGGCUGGUGUUUAGGUUUUUGUUUCGUUGUUAGAAUGAACUAGGGUUCGUUGGCCGCGCGAGAGAGAGAGAACGUUUAGGUUAGGGUUUAAGUUUGUGUUUUCUUUUGGAGCGCCAAUCCGGUUGAUUGAGGCGGAUUUAGGGGGAAAGGAGGCCGAAUUUGGAUUCAUAAGCCAAAAAGAGGUGGGAUUUGUGUUUUAACAUUUAGGUUUUAGGGUGGGGUCGCCGAAGAAGAAGGCGGCGCCGCCACGGUUAAUCGGCCUCCACUGUCUUCUCCAGCAAGUGUCGGCCGGGGUGAUGACGGAGAAAGAAGCUAAGUUGUAGAGCGUUUAGGUUUGAGAAGUGAAGAGAGAGACAACGGGUUGAAAACUGAUUUUUUUGGUUGAAAAAAUAAUUUAAAGGGUGGUCUGUGGAUGAGCACGGUGGUGACAAGUGUCUCCACCAUGGACACUUGUCACCAAUGGUUUGAGUCUUUUCGGUGGAUUUGGUGUGGCAUCCAUAAAUCCUUACCGUGUCCUAGCAUAGUUAUCAUCUGUCCACCCUAAUUGACUUAAUCAAGUCAUGAAAUCAAACGGUCCUUG